AUGGCGGAUGCAAGGAACAAGUUCACUCAACCGGAUAAAGAUACACCUUUUGGACGACACUUGAAGGAAGUUACUAGGUACCUGAACAUCGUAAUACCAAGAUUCACCGGGACCUACAUCGCCACUUUAAUAGAAGAGGAGCGUUGGAUGAUUCGAGUUCAAGUUCCAGGAAGGACGUUCAUGCCAGUCACUGAGCCCAUAGAGUUUUCCUUUGAUGCACCAACCUGGAGUCUAGGAAAGAGCAUGGCAGCCCACAUCACCAUGGGACGCAUUGAAGAAGUUUACCACAAGGAUCUCAAGGAUACUAUCUACCAGAUUUGUGGGCGCCGAGAUGAGCAAUGGGAGAUGAUCAGCACCAGGAGGGAUAGGUCCAUUGCAGCUUGCAUCCAGGAAUUAAACCAGCACAUUCGACGCCAGGAGAAUCAGAUGUGCGCAGGCAUGAUAGAUCUAAAGAAGGAAAUGACCAGGAUCCUAGAGCUGGAGGAAGAACUCAAGUCUACACGUGAUGGAUACGAGGAGGAGAUGACGAUACUCGUGGAGAAGAAUGACGAUUUGAUGAGGAAGCUAGGAGUAUUCAUGAGAGACCCCACGCCAGGAGGAGAAGACGAUGAUUCCACUUGUCCGGAGAACUACAUCAUCAUCAACGACACUGACUCGGACCCUGAUGAUAGUGAUGAUGACUAUGUUGAUGAAGCUGGAGCAGAUAUCAUGGAGUCUUCCACCGAUUAA
This 729-nucleotide ribosomal RNA is filed under the name Triticum aestivum (bread wheat). Its description in RNAcentral is "partial small subunit ribosomal RNA". Lineage: Eukaryota; Viridiplantae; Streptophyta; Magnoliopsida; Poales; Poaceae. The record is from RNAcentral.